ACUUCCUUAGUAUAGUCCAGUACAACUGACUUCCAAUCAGUCAGCUCUGGUCGCAAUCCAGAAUGAAGUA
Ochotona princeps (American pika) is the source of this 70-nucleotide non-coding RNA. NCBI's taxonomy places the organism in Eukaryota, Metazoa, Chordata, Mammalia, Lagomorpha, Ochotonidae. The record is from Ensembl.